This 492-nucleotide ribosomal RNA is filed under the name uncultured bacterium. Its description in RNAcentral is "partial 16S ribosomal RNA". It matches the Rfam family "Bacterial small subunit ribosomal RNA", at positions 29 to 507 of the family's 1533-position model. The record is from RNAcentral.
AGUGAACGCUGGCGGUAGGCCUAACACAUGCAAGUCGAACGGCAGCACAGUAAGAGCUUGCUCUUACGGGUGGCGAGUGGCGGACGGGUGAGGAAUACAUCGGAAUCUACUUUUUCGUGGGGGAUAACGUAGGGAAACUUACGCUAAUACCGCAUACGACCUACGGGUGAAAGCAGGGGAUCUUCGGACCUUGCGCGAUUGAAUGAGCCGAUGUCGGAUUAGCUAGUUGGCGGGGUAAAGGCCCACCGAGGCGACGAUCCGUAGCUGGUCUGAGAGGAUGAUCAGCCACACUGGAAAUGAGACACGGUCCAGACUCCUACGGGAGGCAGCAGUGGGGAAUAUUGGACAAUGGGCGCAAGCCUGAUCCAGCCAUACCGCGUGGGUGAAGAAGGCCUUCGGGUUGUAAAGCCCUUUUGUUGGGAAAGAAAAGCAGCAGGUUAAUACCCCGCUGUUCUGACGGUACCCAAAGAAUAAGCACCGGCUAACUUCGUG